UACGGAGGGUCCGAGCGUUAUCCGGAAUCAUUGGGUUUAAAGGGUCCGUAGGCGGGACAUUAAGUCAGGGGUGAAAUGUUGCAGCUCAACUGCAGAAUGGCCUUUGAUACUGGUGUUCUUGAGUUAUGUUGCUGUGGUCGGAACAUGUGGUGUAGCGGUGAAAUGCAUAGAUAUCCCAUAGAACGCCGAUUGCGAAGGCAGGUCACAAAACAUAUACUGACGAUGAGGGACGAAAGCGUGGGGAGCGAACGGG
Molecule: ribosomal RNA, 253 nt
Filed under: uncultured bacterium
Lineage: Bacteria
Description: partial 16S ribosomal RNA
Rfam family: Bacterial small subunit ribosomal RNA
Source: RNAcentral